RNAcentral lists this ribosomal RNA (203 nucleotides) under uncultured bacterium. RNAcentral describes it as "partial 16S ribosomal RNA". It matches the Rfam family "Bacterial small subunit ribosomal RNA", at positions 1289 to 1500 of the family's 1533-position model. The record is from RNAcentral.
CAGUUCAGAUUGCAGGCUGCAACUCGCCUGCAUGAAGUCGGAAUUGCUAGUAAUCGCAGAUCAGCAUGCUGCGGUGAAUACGUUCCCGGGCCUUGUACACACCGCCCGUCAAGCCAUGGGAGCCGGGGGCGCCUGAAGUCCGGGACCGCGAGGACCGGCCUAGGGCGAAACUGGUAACUGGGGCUAAGUCGUAACAAGGUAGC